UGCUGGUGUGAGGGCCCGGCUGCUGCCGGCGUGCUGCCUGCUGGUGGGCGAAAGGGAAGUUUCAGUCUGAGGGUGUUACACCUGUUACGCUGUGUGAGCAGCGGCGGCUCCCUGGUGCGGUUACUGCUGGGCUGACUGACAUCGUCCCUCCCUGUGCAUCUCUACAGUGUCUGACCCGAGUUCAUAUUGUAACACAGAAGGCCACCUUGCCAUCGGACUCACUUCUUCCCUCACAACAAGGUCGCUCUUGGAGGCUAGACUAGUGUUUUGUAGCUUUCAACACCGUCAGUGAGGGGAUCGUCUGAGUGGAGCUGGGCUAUGCCCACUGAUGCCCCCUGGUCUCCCAGUUCACCAUUUUCCAGCCCAGUGGGUGCAUGCCUUGUGCUGCUUGUCAUUGGCAGCUCACAAAGAGCACUUGUCAUUGCUACUGGCAGUGUCAUAUUGCCUUUGGUCUCCAUUAAUUGACUUUUAUCAUUACUCAAAAUGAAGGGGACUAUUAAUUAUUACAGCAGGCAGCCAUUCCUCCACAGCAACCUCAGCAAAGUCAGUGCGAGGAGCUGGCACCCAGCACAGCCCUCAGCACGCUGAGGUUGGGUCUGCAGGCCUGCCUGGGCUGUAGGGAGCAGCCCUGUUCCUGCUGAGCACCCCUCAGCUCUGCCUGUCUUCUGCAGGGAGCAGGAGGGCAGGAUUUCCAUCAUCACGUCUGUGUGCCACUUUACUACAGCUUUGAAUGGCGCUUUACAAAAUAGGUAAUGAUGUCUCAUUGCUCUGGAGAGUUCCCAAACUAAAUUAAGGAGAGAAGAAUGGGAAGAGACGACCAUCCAAUGAGGUGCAGGUGCUGGGGAGUGGGAUAAGGAGGGGGAGGGCAAUGUGAUUAUGUCCUUUCAAAGUGAAUGCCUCAGGGCAGCCACUUUUGGGGACAGUGUAAAAGGGAGAUGGAGAAAGGCGUGACUCAUAGAGACAGCAUCUGCGCAGGGUUUAGGUCUGCUAUUGAAAGCGGAACGCUUCUUUCAAAACCUGUGCAAGGAGACGGAUGCUCAGCUGCUCCCUGUGAUUUAGCACUACUAACCUCUUCCUCUCCCUUCCCAAAGGGGUCCUGUGGAAGAAAAAGCUGAGAAGUGCUGGAGGAGGGAUUCCUGAUGGGUGAUUUCAGCUGAGCGAGGAGGGCCUCUGGGAAAGGAAAGGUGGCGGAGCAGCUGGGAUGGCCGCAGGAGACAGGCAACCGGCACAAUCAACCUUGAUGAAAUUCUUCCUCUUGUGUCUGUGAGCCCCCAGUAUUCAUUGAACAGAAGGAUGAGAAGAGGUAACGAUGAAGGAUUGCUAUGGCUGCGUGUGCACUUUGGCAUUGUGCUCUCGGGUGUCCUGAUGUUCUGCCACCCAUGGCAGGCUAUAUGCGCUCUAAUUGGACUUGCUAAUGCAGAUGUUGGGAGGAGACACAGGAACCAGGAGGGAUCUUUUUGCGUGAGCUAAAAGGGAAGAAAUCCUCCCUCCUGGUGCUGCGUGAACACGUCUGCUUUUUGCAGCCUGUCCUGAAAAUGCAAAUUUGUAAGUGCUCCUUGCUGGCCUAGUGGAUACAGAGACAUAAAAAGAAUGUAAAUCACCAAGUAGUACUUUGACAGCUGACACCCAUGUCUUUCCCGAGGGCCCUAAUGGUCACUCUUCGGCAGCUCUUUGCUGAUUCAUGAAGACUGCUAAGAGAAAGCGUGUGUGACUUAUCUUUUAUAGAGUGUAAUAAAAAGAGGGAAGUGCCCCACGUGGCUGAAAGUGCAGCUCUGUGGUCUGUCUCAGAGAUGCUCCAUUAGCUGGCUGCUGGCAGUGAUGAUGCAAAAAUGGGAGAUCCCUGGUUGAGCCAUUAGCAUGAGCAGACUGAAAAACUGUACUGUCACAGUGAGCCUGUGCUUUUCCUUUGCUUGUAUGAAAACUUGGUAGAAGGGAAGGAUGAUUCUGUUCCCUUGGAUGUUGGCAUAGGCUGCACAAAAGCAACAUUCUGCUUUUGGUUAGAUUCCCCCAUAUUCUGUUAGAUGCAGGCUCACUUAAGCCAAAGCCUUUGGACCACUAUUCUCUGGCUAUAUUUUUGGCCAGGUUCUCUGAUGCUCGUGACUGACCAGACUGUUAAUUCUGGCCUCUCACCUCUUUGUUUCAAAACAGUGACUGCUGACAUCUCUGUCAGCACUGCCUCCAGCAUUAGGAAAGGGUCUUUCCUUUGCCACAGACAACAAUAAUCUAGAGAAAGGUCCUUCCUUGCAGAAAGAUGGAUUAAGUUCUUAUUUUGAAAUGCAGUGUAAAUGGUCCUGAUGUACUGAAAUGUAACAGCUAAUAUAAGCAGACGAGUCAAUUUACAGCUUUCAUACUACAUUUUAAGAAAUAAAAGAAGCGGACAAGACAGCACAAUAAAUCUGCCCGCUGUCCCAGUCUGGUUGAUGUUAAUUGAAUGUAGUUUUAGCAGAUAACUGGAUGAUGCGGCUUCCUAAAAAUAGGAAAUGCACUUACUUUGUCAGGAACAUGAAUUUGUCCAAGGAAGCAGAGGACAGUCUUGAACAAUAUGUUCUUUAGGAUGAAAGUCUUUUGACCAAUGAAGCAGCGUAUAUGUUUGGUUACUAUCCUGUGUGCACAACAUGCAGCUCACAUUAGAACAACCCUGACAAUACCAGAAACACAAUUACAUCAUUCAGCACUCAAGAGAGACCAACCGAAAAAACAAAUAUCAUUUAGGGACAAAUUAUUCUAGGAAAACAGGAACUCACCGCCAGGUGUAUACGAUUAAGGCUUCUUUGGUUUUAAAGAGGCAAGUUUUAGUAGAAAACAAAACGUUAACUAGGAGUUUAGUAAAUAUGUCUGGAGACAUUGGAAUUUUGGCAGAGCAUAACUCCGAGAAUAGUGUGAAUGUUUCUUUUCUGUUGAUGUGUCUUCACAUAAAACUGGGCAAAACAAGUAGGUUGCAAGUAAAAGCAACAGAAAACACACAUGGAGAUAUUGAAAUAGGAUAGCAUUUCAUUUCAAAUUCAGGCGUAAAUGUAUGCAUAUACACACCUAUAUACAUAUAUAUGUGUAUGCAACUGUGUAUAUAAACCAUAUAUAGAUGGCAUGUGUGGAAGUGCAUGUUUACUUGUAUACAUAUUUCUGAGUAUAUAUGUAAAUAAAUAUUUACACACAGGCAUAAGUGAAUAAAGGACAUUUAAAUCAUA
Molecule: non-coding RNA, 3185 nt
Organism: Meleagris gallopavo (turkey)
Lineage: Eukaryota; Metazoa; Chordata; Aves; Galliformes; Phasianidae
Source: RefSeq, a predicted model, not a curated record